RNAcentral lists this long non-coding RNA (1017 nucleotides) under Papio anubis (olive baboon). Its description in RNAcentral is "lncRNA (ENSPANG00000037384.1)". The record is from RNAcentral. Lineage: Eukaryota; Metazoa; Chordata; Mammalia; Primates; Cercopithecidae.
AUGAAAAUAAUCUCAGAUGGAAGGUUGGAGAGAAAUGAAGGAACAAAUAAACAAACAAAUGGAGAACAAAGAAAAGGUUCUGCCAUCAGAAUGUUGGAGUGCCAUUACCAACUCUCUGCACCUCCUCCUGUCUUCCUCCUGGAGUUCUGGGUAAGCUAUUUUGUCCCACCCACUGGGAGAGCACUCUGGGUGUUGGAAGGUUAGGAGCCCUGAAAAGAAGGCAGGAGAAGAGAAGCCCUCAUUCUUCUACAUUAGCUGUGAGGCUGCAAAGGAAACCCCCUGCAGGGCUCCCAGAUUUUAAAAGCGCCCUGGUGAGUAAUGACCUGGUGAGUAACGCUCCUGCAGAGCACAUGCGGGACUCUGCCCUGUCUCCCACCUCUUUCCUUGUAGUCCUUACUUAAAAUAGAAACCAGUUAAAUAUGGUAGCCAGCUGGGAGCCUGACUUUCUACUCCUAAUGCUCGCCUACCUGCCUCACAUUUAGAAUUUUUUUUUUUUAGCAAAGUGAAAGCAAGUUUAUUAAGGAAGUAAAAGAAUAAAAGAAUGGCUACUCCUUAGAGCAGCCCUGAGGGCCGCUGGUUGCCCGUUUUUAUGGUUAUUUCUUGAUGAUAUGCUAAACAAGUGGUGGGUUAUUCAUGCUUCCCCUUUUUAGACUAUAUAGGGUAACUUGCUGAUGUUGCCAUGGCAUUUGUACACUGUCAUGGGGCUGGUGGGAGUGUAGCAGUGAGGACGACCAGAGGUCAUUCUUAAUCGCCAUUUUGGUUUUGGCCGACUCCUUGACUGCAUCCUGUUUUAUCAGCAAGGUCUUUAUGACCUGUAUUUUACGCUGACCUCCUGUCUCAUCCUGUGACUUAGAAUACCUUAGCUUACUAGGAAUGCAGCCCAGUAGGUUUCAGCCUCAUUUUACUCAGCUCCUAUUUAAGAUGGAGUUGCUCUAGUUCACAUGCCUCUGACAGCAGGAGUUCAAGACCAGCCUGGGCAACAGAGCGAGACCCUGUCUCUCUUGGGAGACCAGAUCC